CACGUAGGGGGCGAGCGUUGUCCGGAUUUAUUGGGCGUAAAGAGCUCGUAGGCGGCUCGGUAAGUCAGGUGUGAAAACUCUAGGCUCAACCUAGAGACGCCACCUGAUACUGCCGUGGCUAGAGUCCGGUAGGGGAGCAUGGAAUUCCUGGUGUAGCGGUGAAAUGCGCAGAUAUCAGGAGGAACACCGGUGGCGAAGGCGGUUCUCUGGGCAUUACCUGACGCUGAGGAGCGAAAGCGUGGGGAGCAAACAGG
RNAcentral lists this ribosomal RNA (254 nucleotides) under uncultured bacterium. Its description in RNAcentral is "partial 16S ribosomal RNA". It matches the Rfam family "Bacterial small subunit ribosomal RNA", at positions 524 to 776 of the family's 1533-position model. The record is from RNAcentral.